Molecule: ribosomal RNA, 519 nt
Filed under: uncultured eukaryote
Lineage: Eukaryota
Description: SSU rRNA
Rfam family: Eukaryotic small subunit ribosomal RNA
Source: RNAcentral
AGGGCACCACCAGGAGUGGAGCCUGCGGCUUAAUUUGACUCAACACGGGGAAACUUACCCGGCCUGGACACUGGAAGGAUUGACAGAUUGAGAGCUCUUUCUUGAUUCAGUGGGUGGUGGUGCAUGGCCGUUCUUAGUUGGUGGAGCGAUUUGUUUGGUUAAUUCCGAUAACGAACGAGACUCUAGCCUAUUAAAUAGGCUCUCGGCUUUUAAACGCCGGGAGGACUUCUUAGAGGGACAGGUGGCGGUUCAGCCGCACGAAAGAGAGCAAUAACAGGUCUGUGAUGCCCUUUGUUGUCCGGGGCCGCACGCGCGCUACACUGAAGAGAUCAGCGUGCUUUACGUUCCUGCUCCGACCGGAGUGAGGAACCCAGUGAACCUUCUUCGUGAUUGGGAUAGAAGAUUGUAAUUAUUCUUCUUGAACGAGGAAUUCCCAGUAAAUGCGAGUCAUAAGCUCGCGUUGAUUACGUCCCUGCCCUUUGUACACACCGCCCGUCGCUACUACCGAUUGAACGAUUU